GACUAUGGCUAUACCACCCUGAAUGUGCCCGAUCUCAUCUGAUCUCGGAAGCUAAGCAGGGUCAAGCCUGGUUAAUACUUGGAUGGGAGACCGCCUGGGAAUACCUGGUGCUGUAGACU
Ribosomal RNA from Sphaerodactylus townsendi, 119 nucleotides. Lineage: Eukaryota; Metazoa; Chordata; Lepidosauria; Squamata; Sphaerodactylidae. The record is from RefSeq and is a predicted model, not a curated record.